This 519-nucleotide ribosomal RNA is filed under the name uncultured eukaryote. RNAcentral's name for it is "SSU rRNA". It matches the Rfam family "Eukaryotic small subunit ribosomal RNA", at positions 1161 to 1694 of the family's 1831-position model. The record is from RNAcentral.
AGGGCACCACCAGGAGUGGAGCCUGCGGCUUAAUUUGACUCAACACGGGAAACCUCACCAGGCCCAGACACCGGGAGGAUUGACAGAUUGAGAGCUCUUUCUUGAUUCUGUGGGUGGGGGUGCAUGGCCGUUCUUAGUUGGUGGAGCGAUUUGUCUGGUUAAUUCCCAUAACAAACAAGACUCUAGCCUGCUAAAUAGUCACAUCCGGUAUCCUCUGUGCUACCGGCGACCACCAAUCUUCUUAGAGGGACAGGCGGCUUCUAGCCGCACGAGAUUGAGCAAUAACAGGUCUGUGAUGCCCUUAUAUGUUCUGGGCCGCACGCGCGCUACACUGAAAGAAUCAGCGUGUCCUCCCUGGCCGAAAGGUCCGGGUAACCCGCUGAACCUCCUUCGUGCUAGGGAUUGGGGCUUGCUAUUGUUCCCCAUGAACGAGGAAUUCCCAGUAAGCGCGAGUCAUAAGCUCGCGUUGAUUACGUCCUUGCCCUUUGUACACACCGCCCCCCGUUUCUACUGAUGAAU